GGGCAGAGAAGUGAUGGUGGAUGCGAGCGGGGCAAAGGAAAAGCACAAUACAAUUGAAGUAAGCAGAGAAGUAGCCAUCCACUGCCCUGUCGUGUACCUUGGAGAGAAGGAAGAGAACCUUUUCAAAGAGUUUGCUGUGAGUAAUUCUACAAUGAAACACUGGAGUCUGCGUCAUGCUCUAGGAGUACCACGAGACGUUACGCAAGGAGGACACAAAACAGUUUGAAGCAGGCCUUGACAGGCAAUUGAUGAAAACUGCCAGUUCACCCCAGGAGCUGACCACAAGACAGCAACCAUCAUGGUCGAGGGAACCAAAAUCUUUGAAGGAAAGGAUAUCCCAAGGUGCUGUGCUUUCCUGAUAGGUAUAAUAUAUGCAUUGAAUCUGAGCUAUCCCAAGGAACUGAAAUGAACUUACUGUUGAAAUGUUUCAGAAGGUGUUCCUUGAACUUGAUGGAUUAAAAGUCAGUGCAUAAGUAAUGAGUCUCAAGAACAGUAUUUUCUGAAGAUUCCACUUGUUUCACAGCACUAUCAGAUUUUAUUCAGAAAAUAUUGUUUGUAUUUUGAAGUCCACUGAAGAGGCUACAAAACUGAUAAUGAAACAGAAAAGGGAACACAGGACAAAAUUUGAAAUUGUUUCUCUGUCAAGUUGCUUUGGAUAUGCUGUAUGUGCAUAUGUGUAUCUUGUCUUGACAGUUGGAAAAACAAAGAUGACAUUUAAAGAAAUACAUAUUUUAGCCCACAGGGGGACUGCUGCAGAGUAACAUACAGAGAAUGCAGUUUUUGUGUUUUGGAAAUGAAUGUUGUAGGCUUACCCAUAUAAUUACAUAUGCAGUUUAGGUAUAGCAACUUAAGGAAAGUUCCAUAGCAUGUUACUUGGCUUUGGCUGUUAUAUCCUUGGAGACUCAGGUUUUGAGGGGGUCACAAUUGUGUAAGAUGUAUUUAGAUGUGUUCCGAAAUCUGUUAUAAUAACCUUAGAACUGGCUCAGUCUUUUAUAUCAUGCCAUGCCAUGCAAAGAGGUGUACUGUUAGAUGAGCAAGCAACCUGCGUUAAAAUUUUUCAUACUGUUUCAAAUACUGUCUGCUGUGAAAACACAUUCGUUAGUUUUCAUAAAACUGAUCUAAAAGGUCUCUAUCAUAUUGUACAAAAAAGCUGCAGGACCUUGAGAAGAUUGGUGGCUAUUGAAAGUUGAUGUUUAAUGAGUACUUGCUUGGAACUUUGUUACUGUAGUUUUACAGAAUGUUUACAAAUGUUUUACAAAGUGAUUUUAAAACUGGAGUUAACAACAUUUUACAGAUUCUACAUGGCACUGUGGUCUAAAAUACGUAAAGGCCUAUAACUUUGCCAUGAUGGCAUAAGUGACUUGCUGUGAUGGCAUAAUUGAAUAUGUAUGCCAACUACUUAAUUUACCAAGGCAAUAUGGCCAGUUUGUUUAUUUGAGGGGCAAUUUAGAUUCAUGUUGUGUUUUUUUUUUCUUUCAAGAUUUAAAUAUAGUAUGUUCAAAU
Molecule: long non-coding RNA, 1503 nt
Organism: Thunnus maccoyii (southern bluefin tuna)
Lineage: Eukaryota; Metazoa; Chordata; Actinopteri; Scombriformes; Scombridae
Exons: 3
Source: RefSeq, a predicted model, not a curated record